GGUGAAGAACGCAGCGAAAUGCGAUAAGUAAUGUGAAUUGCAGAAUUCAGUGAAUCAUCGAAUCUUUGAACGCACCUUGCGCUCCUUGGUAUUCCGAGGAGCAUGCCUGUUUGAGUGUCAUGAAAUUCUCAAGCUUUUCAGCUUUCUUUGUUGAUCAGGCUUGGAUGUGGGAGUAUGCGGGCUUCUCAGAAGUCGGCUCUCCUGAAAUGCAUUAGCGGGACCUUUGUUGCCUGGCUUUGGUGUGAUAAUUAUCUACGCCAUUGUAGUCAAGCAGCUUAAAAUGAGGUUUCAGCUUCUAACCGUCUCCCCUGAGACAACUUUUUGACAAUUUGACCUCAAAUCAGGUAGGACUACCCGCUGAACUUAAGCAUAUCAAUAAGCGGAGGA
This 387-nucleotide unclassified non-coding RNA is filed under the name soil metagenome. Its description in RNAcentral is "partial contains 5.8S ribosomal RNA, internal transcribed spacer 2, and large subunit ribosomal RNA". The stretch from base 3 to 120 matches the Rfam family "5.8S ribosomal RNA", at positions 37 to 154 of the family's 154-position model. The record is from RNAcentral.